CGCAGAGUAUAGCAGUUGGUAGCUUUUCGGGCUCAUAACCCGAAGGUCGUAGGUUCGAGUCCUACCUCUGCUCCCA
This 76-nucleotide transfer RNA is filed under the name compost metagenome. RNAcentral describes it as "tRNA-Met". It matches the Rfam family "tRNA". From Rfam's summary of the family: Transfer RNA (tRNA) molecules are approximately 80 nucleotides in length. Their secondary structure includes four short double-helical elements and three loops (D, anti-codon, and T loops). The record is from RNAcentral.